UAUAAUAUAUAAACUAUCAUAAAACGAUAAUGCAACUAUAAGGCAACCAAAACAAAAAAUAAACAGACUUAUACAUAAUUGGUUGUACCUUAAUUCGAUUUUACUCUUCUUAUUUUAUUUUUCAAAAAAUAUAUUUAUAUUGAAAACCAGUAAUCAAUCAAAAUGUAACUGUAUAUAACGUAGAUGUAUUAUUCAUGAGUUUUUUUUAAAAAAUUUCACAUCAUACAUUGUUUUGAAUUUGGUGGGAGCUCCAGAUCUGUUUGUUACAGAUCUACAUUUCAUGAAUCUGGAUUUCGAUAUUAGGGGGAGUUGUUUUGAUCGAAUAAAACAGAAAACAAAUGUGUAAUUUCAGUUUCUUCACAGUUUUUCUGAUUUUUUUUUCGUCAUUUUCAGUUUAGAUCAUUGCAGGUCUUCUUUUCCAGUUGAUUUUGCCAGAAUUAAUAGUUGUAUUUUUCUCGUUUUAGUUUCAUUUUGGUUGUUUUGCGGUUUUGAAACGAGCGCGUAUUUUCAUCUUCAUGGUUCGCUCUGUACAUCUGAAGGCUUAGUGCAUGUGGUAUUUUUGUAAAUAUUUGUAUGUGGACUGUAUAAAUGUUUAAUGGGCCGGCCCAAAGUAUUUUUGUAAUUUUUUUUCUUUUUUUGUAUUUUUCU
Cannabis sativa is the source of this 648-nucleotide long non-coding RNA. RefSeq lists it as uncharacterized. Lineage: Eukaryota; Viridiplantae; Streptophyta; Magnoliopsida; Rosales; Cannabaceae. The transcript has 2 exons. The record is from RefSeq and is a predicted model, not a curated record.